Molecule: non-coding RNA, 60 nt
Organism: Clostridiales bacterium 41_21_two_genomes
Lineage: Bacteria; Bacillati; Bacillota; Clostridia; Eubacteriales
Source: Rfam
UGCCUAUCCGCAUCUAAUGAUGAGGAUUAAGCCCAUACGGACAGGCGGGGCAGCUGCCGA